CAAUAGCGUAUAUUAAAGUUGUUGCAGUUAAAAAGCUCGUAGUUGGAUUUCGGGGCAGCCUGGCUGGUCCGCCGCAAGGCGAGUACUGGUCAGCCACCCUUCCUCUCGAAAGCCCCGACUGCUCUUCGUUGCAGUGGUCGGGUAGUUCGGGACGUUUACUUUGAAAAAAUUAGAGUGUUCAAGGCAGGCCUACGCCUGAAUACAUUAGCAUGGAAUAAUGGAAGAGGACCUCGGUCCUAUUUUGUUGGUUUCCAGGGCCGAAGUAAUGAUUAAGAGGGACAGUUGGGGGCAUUCGUAUUUAAUUGUCAGAGGUGAAAUUCUCGGAUUUAUGAAAGACGAACAACUGCGAAAGCAUUUGCCAAGGAUGUUUUCAUUAA
This 377-nucleotide ribosomal RNA is filed under the name uncultured eukaryote. RNAcentral's name for it is "partial 18S ribosomal RNA". It matches the Rfam family "Eukaryotic small subunit ribosomal RNA", at positions 592 to 976 of the family's 1831-position model. The record is from RNAcentral.